Molecule: small nuclear RNA, 107 nt
Organism: Oryctolagus cuniculus (rabbit)
Lineage: Eukaryota; Metazoa; Chordata; Mammalia; Lagomorpha; Leporidae
Source: Ensembl
GUGCUCGCUUCAGCAGCUCAUCUACUAAAACUGGAACAAUACAGAGAAGAUUAGCAUGGCCCGUGCCCAAGGAUGACAUGCAAAUUUGUGAAGCGUUCCAUAGUUUU